This 429-nucleotide ribosomal RNA is filed under the name uncultured bacterium. RNAcentral describes it as "partial 16S ribosomal RNA". It matches the Rfam family "Bacterial small subunit ribosomal RNA", at positions 29 to 503 of the family's 1533-position model. The record is from RNAcentral.
AACGAACGCUGGCGGCAUGCCUAACACAUGCAAGUCGAACGAGACCUUCGGGUCUAGUGGCGCACGGGUGCGUAACGCGUGGGAAUCUGCCCUUGGGUUCGGAAAUACAGUUGGAAACGACUGCUAAUACCGGAUGAUGACGUAAGUCCAAAGAUUUAUCGCCCAGGGAUGAGCCCGCGUAGGAUUAGCUAGUUGGUGGGGUAAAGGCCUACCAAGGCGACGAUCCUUAGCUGGUCUGAGAGGAUGAUCAGCCACACUGGGACUGAGACACGGCCCAGACUCCUACGGGAGGCAGCAGUGGGGAAUAUUGGACGAUGGGCGACAGCCUGAUCCAGCACUGCCGCGUGAUUGAUGAAGGCCUUAGGGUUGUAAAGCUCUUUUACCCGGGAUGUUACUGUACCUACCGAAAGAGCACCCCCCAGCUACCUC